RNAcentral lists this long non-coding RNA (1168 nucleotides) under Homo sapiens (human). Its description in RNAcentral is "HSALNT0354491". Lineage: Eukaryota; Metazoa; Chordata; Mammalia; Primates; Hominidae. The record is from RNAcentral.
CAGAUACCAUGUAUUUUGAGGAGAAGCUGAGCAUUGUUGGGGACAGCACCACCAUUAGACCUGGACUAUUGGGGCCCAGGGAUUUAGAGAGCCCCACAUAUCACACCCACCCACACACCCACCCACACACAACAGUUUAUUAAAUAACAGAUAAGCACCUCUGUCCUUUGGGAUCUGGUGCCUGGUACUGGCACAGUGGGACCCACAUCACUGAUUAUUCUCUUUCACAACCAACACUGUUUAGGCCCCAGGAAACAAUCUCUACAUGUGGCACUCGACUCUGAAAACAACAGGUCAAAUGUCCUGAUACUUCGUGGAUGAUGCCACCGCAGACAUAGGAGACAGACACUGCUUCAAGAGAGGAUUUGAGUGAACUUGGAGGACAUUUGAAAAUGACCAAAAAAUAUAAUGAGAAGAAAUUAGCCUGACUAGGGUGGGAGCAGGAAGAAGAAAUGUAUCUUCUUUGAAAGAGCCUUGCAAACAAGAAAACGGGCCAGGGACAAAGUGCAGGAGGAGAGGCUAUCACAAUGGCUCAGAGGCUUGAAAAGAGCUCAGGGUCAGACCAUGUUCUCUGAUAUGGGACAGGCAGAGCCCCGUGAAUGAGGUAGGCGAGGGUGCGUGGGACACUCGGCAGCGGCCCAAUCUCUAUCUGCAAAGAGCCUGUGGAGGAAGGGGAGGUGCUGGGGGGAGCUGACUUGGGGGUCACACAGCCCCCACUGGGCUCCCCUAGGGUGGGAGCCAGGGUCUCUGUGAGGCACCAGGAGACGGGACUGGGGCCAGCAGGCACAAGUGCUGGGAGGAGGACUUCAGCUCAGAGAAGGAGCAGAUCUCCACUAGGGGGCAGGAGGGGACCACAGAUGCUAAACAGCCGGCCAUUCAGGGUUACCCUGGCCAGAAUUCUCCCUUAAGCCUCAGCUUCCAGAGCUACAAAUCAGAGCUAAAUAAACCCUCCUUCCACUGGGGGUGGCGGAGGUCACGUGUGUGUGUGCACGCAUGUGUGAACGUGUGUCAGAGACCAGCAGCCGCUCACCCAAUCCAUUUCUUCUGCCUGGACAGACUACAUCUUCAGCCUUAUUUGUGCUCUAGCCAACGGGAUGGAAGUGGAGCGAUGCUAGCCCCAUAGAGGCCUGGCCCAGAGACCCUCCUGCACAAUUCUCUACACUCUCUU